RNAcentral lists this long non-coding RNA (1111 nucleotides) under Gallus gallus (chicken). Its description in RNAcentral is "long non-coding RNA NONGGAT005107". The record is from RNAcentral. Lineage: Eukaryota; Metazoa; Chordata; Aves; Galliformes; Phasianidae.
GACUAACAUCAGCCUCAAAAUUGAUAGAAGCUCCUGUUGUUGGUAAUGUGUGUAGACUGGGGCAGGAUCAGCUCUCUGAUACCUGAGAGAAAGAAAGAGAACAGAGCUUUGGGAAGUCGGGACUGUCGGACAGUUAAUGGUGGAUCUCUAGCAGUGGGUCUCUUGCUGCUUCUGAACCACUUCAACAGAUGCUGUCUUCUGGGUGUGGAAGGAAGAGCUAUGGAGAUGCUGGAAGCAAUUUGAGGAAUGCCCAACCAGAGGAGGGUUUUGGUCUUGGGUGAAGCCCACCAAGACCUGCGUGACUUCAAAUAUCCUUUGGGCUGUGCAGUGCUGUUCAGUUGCUGAGCAGUGGAAGUGUAUCUGUAUGGGGAGAUGAAGCCAAACUGUAUUAAUUAAAUGGCUUUGAACAGUUCCAACUGACAAUUGAAGUGGACUGCAUUUAAAUAAGAUCAGUUCAUCUUCACUUUCUGCUCACUCGUGCUGAUGAGAAGCACUUGUGAGAGCAAUUUUGAAUGGUUUUCUCUCAACACAAGAAGAAUAUUGAGUGGGAGGAUUAUAUGAGAGACACGUAAGGCCUUGGCUUUCCCAGAGCUGUACAAAGCAAACUCCACACUGUCAACUCAACUGCACUUACAGCUGUGCAGGACAUGCUUAAAAUCUGGAACAGGUUUCUCAGGGCCAAUCUACUCAAGCUUUGAAAUACUCCACAGAUGGAGAUUGCACCCCAUCCCUGAGUGCCUGGGAUUAAAACAUCCACGCUAAGUGUGAGGAGUACCAAACAGAGGACGUGUCCUAUGGUUAUUCUCCAAAAAAUGGGGGACAUCCCUUCUUUCUCCGGCCCCAGAGGCAAACAAUGCACUGCUCCUUCCAGCUCGCUCUGAUGAUGGGUCUCACAGACAUCCAACCAGGCACCAUCUCAGCAGCUCUGCAGCUCCAUGGAGCCAAGAGCCAGGCUUUGGGAAGAAGCUUGUAAACCUGCUGCAGAUGGCUCUGGAGGAGAAAGCACUUUCUCUUUGGGCAGGACUUGUUAAGACCCACAUGCAGAAUAUGAGCUUCAGCCGACCCUCCCUGGUGAGUACUGAAACUUCAGGGGCUGAACAUUUUCUCCCUG